AAGAUUUUAAGUUAAAAAAACUGUAUGCCUUCAAAGCAUAAUAUAAUUCCAAUUAAAUCUUA
Molecule: transfer RNA, 62 nt
Filed under: Ornithodoros phacochoerus
Lineage: Eukaryota; Metazoa; Arthropoda; Arachnida; Ixodida; Argasidae
Description: tRNA-Trp
Source: RNAcentral